AUGAAGCCCUUCGGGGUGGAUUAGUGGCGAACGGGUGAGUAACACGUGGGCAAUCUGCCCUUCACUCUGGGACAAGCCCUGGAAACGGGGUCUAAUACCGGAUAACACUCUGUCCCGCAUGGGACGGGGUUGAAAGCUCCGGCGGUGAAGGAUGAGCCCGCGGCCUAUCAGCUUGUUGGUGGGGUAAUGGCCUACCAAGGCGACGACGGGUAGCCGGCCUGAGAGGGCGACCGGCCACACUGGGACUGAGACACGGCCCAGACUCCUACGGGAGGCAGCAGUGGGGAAUAUUGCACAAUGGGCGAAAGCCUGAUGCAGCGACGCCGCGUGAGGGAUGACGGCCUUCGGGUUGUAAACCUCUUUCAGCAGGGAAGAAGCGAAAGUGACGGUACCUGCAGAAGAAGCGCCGGCUAACUACGUGCCAGCAGCCGCGGUAAUACGUAGGGCGCAAGCGUUGUCCGGAAUUAUUGGGCGUAAAGAGCUCGUAGGCGGCUUGUCACGUCGGAUGUGAAAGCCCGGGGCUUAACCCCGGGUCUGCAUUCGAUACGGGCUAGCUAGAGUGUGGUAGGGGAGAUCGGAAUUCCUGGUGUAGCGGUGAAAUGCGCAGAUAUCAGGAGGAACACCGGUGGCGAAGGCGGAUCUCUGGGCCAUUACUGACGCUGAGGAGCGAAAGCGUGGGGAGCGAACAGGAUUAGAUACCCUGGUAGUCCACGCCGUAAACGUUGGGAACUAGGUGUUGGCGACAUUCCACGUCGUCGGUGCCGCAGCUAACGCAUUAAGUUCCCCGCCUG
RNAcentral lists this ribosomal RNA (791 nucleotides) under Streptomyces sp. MBRL 215. Its description in RNAcentral is "bacterial SSU rRNA". It matches the Rfam family "Bacterial small subunit ribosomal RNA", at positions 69 to 875 of the family's 1533-position model. The record is from RNAcentral. Lineage: Bacteria; Bacillati; Actinomycetota; Actinomycetes; Kitasatosporales; Streptomycetaceae.